Molecule: non-coding RNA, 110 nt
Organism: Gulosibacter sp. 10
Lineage: Bacteria; Bacillati; Actinomycetota; Actinomycetes; Micrococcales; Microbacteriaceae
Source: Rfam
GAUGGUCCACACGGGGGCCCCUGGCAGGGGCUGAGAUCGGGCUGGUGGAGUCCGAGACCGUUGAACCUGAUCCGGUCAAUACCGGCGUAGGAAGUGAGGAGAUACUCGUG